Equus caballus (horse) is the source of this 1560-nucleotide long non-coding RNA. The record is from Ensembl. Lineage: Eukaryota; Metazoa; Chordata; Mammalia; Perissodactyla; Equidae.
AUGUUUGUCAGUUUCAGCCAGGACCCUCUCUAUUUACCAGAACAGGCACCUCCAAACAGUAUGUUAACUUGUUAGUGUUAGUGGUUAUUGUAACUAACUUCAUCGUGUUGGUGUCAUUUUGGCAAAAUUAAUCACAGAAGAAAAUAUGCAAGGGCAUAUAACAAGAGGAAAGAAGCACAGAAAUUACAAAAGUUAAAGAACAUUGUAAAGCGCUGUGAAAGCUAAGAAUAUCUAUGUUAUAGCAAUAAUAAUCAAUGUGAUUCAUUUAUCCAUAAAAAUAAUUUGGUGAGAACUUACAUUUCUGGUCCAACAUGUGAAUAGCUUGGAGGUCAUCACUCCUUCCUCACAAUAAGAAAAGAAUCUGAAGGUCCAGCUGGUGGCACAGCGUUUAAGUGCAUACAUUCCACUUUGGUGGCCUGGGUUUCGCCAGUUUGGAUCCUGGCUGCAGACAUGGCCCCGCUUGGCAAGGCAUGCUGUGGCAGGCGUCCCACAUAUAAAGUAGAGGAAGAUGUGCAUGGAUGUUAGCUCAGGGGUGAGCAGUCUUCCUCAACAAAAAGAGGAUUGGCAACAGAUGUUAGCUCUGGGCUAAUCUCCCACCCCCCAAAAAAGAAAAGAAAAGAAUUUGAAGAAACUGAAAGUCAAACAUUCUUGUUAGAUCCAUCAGAAAAUUGAGGUCACAGAAUAAACUGCUGCUUUGAAAACUGGAAAGGCAGGAGGAUGCAUAGACUCACAGAUUAUUGGGAACAGAAGCUCAGGAUCAGCAGUCAGGAGCUGGAGCCAGUACCAGUAGGAACAUUCAAACUGGAAUUAAUGAAUUUCUGGAAACUCACAUGGGCUAACUAAGAAAUAAAAUCUAUGGGGGGGCCUCCUUAGGGAAACCUCCACACAUUCAUGAUUUUAAUCCCAUGAGUUCCAACAUGUUUUAACCUCAAAUACCGGAGACAAAUUCCCUUGUGUUUCUAUAAAUGGGAGGGAAAAUAUGACCAUUUAAAAUAUCUCCAGAGCUUUCUGUUAUCUUUAACAAAUUCCUGUCCUCAGUGGAAACUAUUUACCAGAGCACUUAGGUUUCCCCACAGUCUUAUUGAUCUGGGGGGAUGGAAAUUCCCCACAUUAAUCCCCUUUAGCCUUCUUGUUUUACCUAAAGGAUGGGAGAAAUUGGGAAAUCACUUGUCAAGAUUACAGUCCAGGGACACAGACUGGUUAAAAGAUUAAGCCAUAAUCAUAGGAUUACAGAAGACAUUCUUGACCCCUCACACCAUACAACCACAUACCAGGUCUCUGGUUUAAUAACAGAAGAUUACAGCAGAAAGGUCUGCAUGCCAUAGACCCUAUUUAAGCAGAAAUCUUUAGGGAACCAAAAGACAAUAGAGUACACAAAACCAAGGACACUAGAGGAAAUUACAGUCUAUGAAACCACAAGUACAGCAAACAGUAAAUACAGCCUAAUUCAUACCCAGACAAAUGUAAACCUCACACUAAAGGCCUAUUUCCCUCAAUUCAGAUUACCUAAUACAUAGUGAGCAUAUGUUAUGGAUUGAGUUGUGUCUCCUAAAAAGUCAU